UGUCACAGAUGUUUGCAUAUACAGUACAUGGUCCAGCACAUUUUUUUUCUUUCGGGGCAGAAUAAAUGUUGUUGAUAUUUUGGCAAACAUUUUUCACCCACAACAACAAAAAAGACUGCUUCCAGCGAUUGGACAUAGGCCAUCAGGAUACUAGGAAGAGGAGACCGUGUAGCACGUCUUUUCUGCUGAGCUUUGAGAUCCCCCUUUUCUUCCUCUUCUUCAUCACCGGAGCUGCUUUCAGUUAUCCUUGUCAGCAGCAACAACACUGGACACCGCAUGCAAGCCUCUCUCUCUGUCCACUCCAGUUGUCCCAUAUGAAUCCACUGUAACUCCCUCUGAAUAAGAGUGUCUGCUAAAAAAAUAACACAGUCGAUGGGAAAUAUUGGGCCUGGGCCUUUAAAAGGACACCGCAUGCAAGCCUCUCUCUCUGUCCACUCC
Oncorhynchus gorbuscha (pink salmon) is the source of this 438-nucleotide long non-coding RNA. RefSeq lists it as uncharacterized. The transcript has 4 exons. Lineage: Eukaryota; Metazoa; Chordata; Actinopteri; Salmoniformes; Salmonidae. The record is from RefSeq and is a predicted model, not a curated record.